RNAcentral lists this unclassified non-coding RNA (352 nucleotides) under soil metagenome. Its description in RNAcentral is "partial contains 5.8S ribosomal RNA, internal transcribed spacer 2, and large subunit ribosomal RNA". The stretch from base 1 to 120 matches the Rfam family "5.8S ribosomal RNA", at positions 35 to 154 of the family's 154-position model. The record is from RNAcentral.
GAUGAAGAACGUAGCGAAAUGCGAUAAGUAAUGUGAAUUGGAGAAUUCAGUGAAUCAUCGAAUCUUUGAACGCACAUUGCGCCCGCCAGUAUUCUGGCGGGCAUGCCUGUUCGAGCGUCAUUACAACCCUCAGGCCCCCGGGCCUGGCGUUGGGGAUCGGCGGAGCCCCCCGUGGGCACACGCCGUCCCCCAAAUGCAGUGGCGGUCCCGCCGCAGCUUCCAUCGCGUAGUAGCUAACACCUCGCGACUGGAGAGCGGCGCGGCCACGCCGUAAAACACCCAACUCUUCUGAAGUUGACCUCGAAUCAGGUAGGAAUACCCGCUGAACUUAAGCAUAUCAAUAAGCGGAGGA